GAAAGAUGAAAAGAACUUUGAAAAGAGAGUUAAACAGUACGUGAAAUUGUUGAAAGGGAAACGAUUGAAGCCAGUCGUACCUUCGGGUAAUCAGCCUUUCGGGUGCGAUUCUGUGGGGUUUGAGGAGCUUUAACACCUUCAUGCUUUGCAUAUUCGUGCUCUUGGGUGUACUUGCCCGUGUGGUUGGUUAACAUCAAUUUCGGGCACCAUAAAAUGGCUGGAGGAAUGUAGCUUCGAUCUUGUAUUGAAGUGUUAUA
Molecule: ribosomal RNA, 257 nt
Filed under: uncultured Rhizophagus
Lineage: Eukaryota; Fungi; Glomeromycota; Glomeromycetes; Glomerales; Glomeraceae
Description: partial large subunit ribosomal RNA
Rfam family: Eukaryotic large subunit ribosomal RNA
Source: RNAcentral